Molecule: ribosomal RNA, 467 nt
Filed under: uncultured Desulfocapsa sp.
Lineage: Bacteria; Pseudomonadati; Thermodesulfobacteriota; Desulfobulbia; Desulfobulbales; Desulfocapsaceae
Description: bacterial SSU rRNA
Rfam family: Bacterial small subunit ribosomal RNA
Source: RNAcentral
CCCGCACAAGCGGUGGAGUAUGUGGUUUAAUUCGACGCAACGCGCAGAACCUUUACCUGGUCUUGACAUCCCGAGAAUUUCCUUGAAAGAGGGAAGUGCCUCGCAAGAGGAGCUUUGGAGACAGGUGCUGCAUGGCUGUCGUCAGCUCGUGUCGUGAGAUGUUGGGUUAAGUCCCGCAACGAGCGCAACCCUUGUCUUUAGUUGCCAUCAUUUAGUUGGGCACUCUAAAGAGACUGCCGGUGUCAAACCGGAGGAAGGUGGGGAUGACGUCAAGUCCUCAUGGCCUUUAUGACCAGGGCUACACACGUACUACAAUGGCCGGUACAAAGGGCAGCCACUUAGCGAUAAGGAGCCAAUCCCGUAAAGCCGGUCUCAGUCCGGAUUGGAGUCUGCAACUCGACUCCAUGAAGUUGGAAUCGCUAGUAAUCGCAGAUCAGCACGCUGCGGUGAAUACGUUCCCGGGCCUU